Molecule: ribosomal RNA, 600 nt
Filed under: uncultured bacterium
Lineage: Bacteria
Description: bacterial SSU rRNA
Rfam family: Bacterial small subunit ribosomal RNA
Source: RNAcentral
AACGAACGCUGGCGGCAUGCCUAACACAUGCAAGUCGAACGAAGGCUUCGGCCUUAGUGGCGCACGGGUGCGUAACGCGUGGGAAUCUGCCCUUGGGUUCGGAAUAACAGUGAGAAAUUACUGCUAAUACCGGAUGAUGACUUCGGUCCAAAGAUUUAUCGCCCAAGGAUGAGCCCGCGUAAGAUUAGCUAGUUGGUGAGGUAAAGGCUCACCAAGGCGACGAUCUUUAGCUGGUCUGAGAGGAUGAUCAGCCACACUGGGACUGAGACACGGCCCAGACUCCUACGGGAGGCAGCAGUGGGGAAUAUUGGACAAUGGGCGAAAGCCUGAUCCAGCAAUGCCGCGUGAGUGAUGAAGGCCUUAGGGUUGUAAAGCUCUUUUACCAGGGAUGAUAAUGACAGUACCUGGAGAAUAAGCUCCGGCUAACUCCGUGCCAGCAGCCGCGGUAAUACGGAGGGAGCUAGCGUUGUUCGGAAUUACUGGGCGUAAAGCGCACGUAGGCGGCCAUUCAAGUCAGAGGUGAAAGCCCGGGGCUCAACCCCGGAACUGCCUUUGAAACUAGAUGGCUUGAAUCUUGGAGAGGCGAGUGGAAUUCCGAGU